ACUGUCAUUUCAAUGUUCACCACUACCAGUGUAAAAUAGCAGGACAUGCUUGUCUACUACAACAGUCUGCUUAAGGGCUAGGUGCCUCUUCUAGUACCCUCAGGAGCUGAAAAAUUUGAAGUACACAGUAACUGAAGCUGGAAUUAAUGGCAGCAUGGGAAACACCUGACAUCAAGUGGAAGCAAAAGAGGAAAAUCUAAUGACCACAGGAUAAGAAACUCAGUAAUGUAAUGUUAUUCUCCAAGUGACCAGCUUGUUACAGAUGGGUAAUGCUGCUGUUAUAACAACAAAGAUAAAACCUUUUUCUCUACAAUAAGAAAUAAUUACCUGAUUCAAAAUAUUGGCUGUCUGACAAUAGAACACCUACUGCAACAUCUGCAGCCCAGAAACAGACAGCUGUAUUUUGCCCAUCACAUGACUAAUCAGGCUCCUACAAUUGUCAGAUCUUCGAUUGACACUGAGAAGACAGGUUGCAAUCACAUUUUUAAAGCAUUUUUCCUCUUUACCUUCUGCUAAAGCAGUUCCUCCACCACUUUUUCCCACUCCAAAAUACAUUAUUGGCAGUGACAACAAAUGUGGAGAAGAAAACAAACCAAACAAUCAUUUGAUAUAAAUAAGUAUAUUAUUAUUGUCAGUGGAUGUAUAUCGAUACUUGUGAGAUGAAAAUUAAUUUAAAAUCUGCUCAGUUGGUAAUUAGUAUUUGAUAUUACCUGCAAUAGUUAUGCAAAACACUAACCACAAAGAAAAUUGGAGAGGAAGUUAUCCUAUUGUCUUCAGGUUAAAAGUUGACAGUUUGCGCAUUCUCUGUUCCCAGUUAAGACAGACAUUUAAACAUGCUUACUUUUAUUGUGCUCUUGUCAUUCACAAGCAUAACGAAAAUGCAUAAGAUUACCCUUUAUAAACUGAAUGGAAAUGAUGCAGGGGGAAAAGAUGACUUUUACAGAUACUAUGUACUACACUGAAGGAUUUUAAAACAUAAAAAUAUUUGACAAGCAUUGGUGCAAAAAUAAUCUCACCUCCAUCAGUACAGUGACAAGCUAAAUUCAACGACAACAGACUUCACAGGGCUUGUCCUCGAAACAAACAGCAAGUUUUCUCUAAAGGCCUUGUGAAGGUAUGAGGUUAUUCAGUGAACAUAACUGUUUUCCUAGAAAAGUAAUCUCCAGUGUUAGUUAGUUUUAUCUACUGUACGCGUAACAGUAUUAGCUUAUGUCACUUUCUUCUACAGACUGAUGGAGUGCUGUUUAAAUUCAUACAGUUGACAGAAUCAUACUCCUAAAUAAACAUGAGAAUUAGUAAGAACAGAUAAUAGGUAUUUUGAGUUAAUCUCAAUUACAGGAAAAUUUUCUUUAUAAAAGAAUUACCAACUUGAAUUAUUUUUCUUGCUGUAAAAUUCAUUAUGGAUCAAGAAGAGAUCUCACCAAACAAUCAUGGUAGGGGACUAAAUAAGAAACUCCAAGAGUUAGUGAAGAUUUGAAAAAAAAAAAAAAACAACUAUGAAUUUAUUAUAGUUCAAUGGCAUUUCUCAACAUCCUAGACAAUACAAAAACACAGGCAGAACACUGAAAUUUAGCUUAAGUAAGUGGCAAUUACAUUACUUUAACACAACUAGGUAAGCAUAUAUUUAUUGCUUUUUCUGUGUUCUACUGUUCUUGUUUUCUUCCUUAACCAGCUUCCUCCAAAACUUUCUGCCUACUGAUCUCCUACAUGGAAGGUCAAGGGUGAAGAAUGGGUAGUUCUUCACAGGGCACUUAAGCAUGGCUUUCAUCCAUUUGAUGGGCUUUCUUGCUCCGUUCUCUUCUGAGGUCCAGUUCAUUAUGAAACAAAAUCUUUUGCUGCAUGUCACUGCAAAUGGGGCACACUUCAACCUAAACUAGCCCCAGGGAUUACAUUGCAGAGCAAAAAAAAAAAAAAAGAUACAAGUUUUAUUAUACCUCCCCUCAAUUACAAGUCACUUUAAACCAAUUCAUACAAGACAUUACAUCUGUGUGACUAUGGGGAUACCUUUUCUUGUUUCUCAUUUUCUUGUCACUAUAUUCUUAUACAGUUACAGAAGAAAGUUACCAUUACUGCUCAGCAUCAGCUUGCCUUGAGAAAUGUCACAUGUGUUCUUAGGAGGAAGCAGCAGGACAAAGAUUGAAUUGGGCCGCCUGAAGACUCUGGUGUUUUCAGUCCUAUCUUAUUGUUCCCCACUUGGAGAUGCAUCAGUGAUGGAAGGGAUGGUGAGAUGGGAUACAGGCAAAGUGGAUUCAGUAUGGCUCACCAAGGUAUAGUCAUCAGGAUUUCCAGCUGAAAUGUUUCAGUCAUGACUCCAGUGCGAAAAGACAAAACUGAAGGAAGUUUACAGAACUGAAAUCAUGCAGCACUUCCAUCAGAAAACACUGAAGUGCAGAAAGCAAAGGUGUAGGUGAAGGUUUCGAAACCCAUGCUAUUAAUGAGACUAAACCACCUAAAUUCAGGACCCAUAAAGUGGGUGUUUCUCAGUGACUUAGUUGCCUAAUCUUCCAUUACAGCUGUGGCUGAUGAGCUGCUACUAGGGCCUCACCCCAUCACCUGGUGUGAUGUUAACUGCCUCCAGAUGACCAAGUCUGCAAUUAAGCAGAGUCAUUGUUGACCAUCAGGUGAGCUGCUCCCCAAGCCUUGCAAACAGUCAUCACUAGAGCUGCAAUUUGAGUACCUAGUGCUAUUUCAUCUGCUUGAGGGUAAUCCUGAUAGAUGGCUACCACCCCAAGGACACAUGCCUGCUGUAGGUACCAUGUUGUAUCUGUCAGGACUCUGAAGGUGUCUCAAAUAUCAGUAACAUCUCAGGUUGAACAAAGUACUGAAUUCAGUACCCAAAUCUUUGCACUCUCUCUGCACAGACCAGAACUCUUGAGAAAACCACCAAUUUCUUCAUUUAAAAAAAAAAAAAAAAAAAAAAGCUUUUAUAGGAAAAUUUCAAAGCAUAAAAAGACUAGAGCUAGAAAAGCAAAUAUUUUAAUUCAAAAUGGGGCUGUGCUGUGGUUGUCCUUCCUGCCUGUUCUCCACAGGCUAAAUUCUUAAUUUUCUACAUAUGAUAAGAUAUAAUUGUUCUUCCUCUGGCUAGAAACUUGGGAACAGAUUUGUAUUCUUUAAGUGAGCAACCUUUUGGUUUUCCAUACAUCAUUUGUUUAUGAAACACAGAUUCCACCAAAUCCACCAUCCAUGUGAUAUCAUCAAAAAAAAAAAUCAUCAGAUAAUUUAUGAGGUAGCCUUUGAAAUGCAUCAGAUAAAGUAUUUGAAAUAUAGGCUCACCUAAGAUAAGACUAAUGUUAUUCAACUAAUAUUUCUUAUGAAGACAAUGGGGUAACAGAUGCUAUGAAACAUUUUUCCGGUAUAAAUAUGUUACCUCACUUCAGUUUACAGAUAUUAUCAUGAAAAGGGUAGAAGUUUUGGUACUGGAUUUGAAUUGCCUGCCUACAGAAUCACCACCUAUUUGAAAUUCACAAAAUGAGCCAAUAUCAGGUAUCUUCCUCUCCCCUGCCAGCAGACAAGGAAAUCUGCAGGAAAUGUCUGGAAAGACAGAAUUUUUGUUCAGGAUGUCAGUCUCAAUAUGUAGCAUGCUUAACAUAAGGAUAUUUAACCAUAGCACAUCCUUCCGCUUGAUGUCCGAUAAAGCUGGGGCUCCCAUCUAUCUAUACCACCUAUCUCUCAUGAAGCAAGUCUUCUGGCCCAUAGUUACUUGAAUUUCUCACUGACUCUUUGUACAGAUUGUCUAAAAGGGAACAAAUUAAAAUAGGUCAGUGGAAUAUUGGAAUGUGCUGAGAAAUUUUGCACUGAAAAGAUGACACGGAUGCCCCACUGAAAGCAGCAGGUACAGAGUGAAGCCAAAAUCAUAUACAACAGCAAAGCUCAUGCAGGAUAAGGCCACUAGGCACUAUCAGUAAAAAAAAACAUAGAAAAAAAAUGUAACUUUUUUGAAGUAGCUAAUGUAUGCUGGGAGAUAACAUGUUUACAAAGACCUACCACCCCAAUUGUUUUUUCUACAUUGUGAGAAAGUGUAGGUUCAGGCCCAGACGACUGCCACUGAAUCUGAAAAUAACAAAUUUCUGGUCAAUGAUACUCCUGAUUAGAUGGAAUGUCACAAAGGGAAGUUUUGAAACAUUGAGUAAUAUCUGAUAAUAUACAGAAAAAUGCAAAGAAUUAAAAAGCAUUUUCUUUUGCUUUCAGUGAUUUCCUUACUUUAAUUUUGUAGAUGCUCUGGAAUGGAGCUAUAAGAACAAUGGGUUUAUGCUGUUUGUAAUUUUGGUGACAUAAAAUUCUAAACUAACAAUAAUCUGAAAAGUGAAAGGUUUGGAGUUGUUAUAUGUUUGGUUUUGUUGUUGUUGUUGUUGCUUUUUCUUUUCUUUUUUUCUUUCUUAAAUUAGAUAUUGGUGGAGUAAUAGGACAAUGGAAUACAGACAGUGGCCAAGCUCUCAUGUUUUUCUUAAAUUAAAUUUCCACAUGCUGUUUUUGGAGGUAGAACACUCUUAACGGUAGGUCAAGGUCUAGUCCGAUAGGAUAUUACUUACUUUCUUAAUUUUAGAAUAGGUCUCGUCACAUCCUCAACUCCUGUCCUAUUGUACAAGCAGCAAAUUAAUUUAGCUUGUUUUCCUUUAUUUAUGGGAGUGUAGUUCAAUAUGAUCACUUGGGGUAUCCAAUGGUGAAGGCAGUCAAAUACAAAAUUAAAGUAAUAAUAAAUCCCAAAGAACAUAAGUACUGUCAAGCACUUUCCUGUAGAUCAAACUGCAUUUCAAGAGACACUAUAGUCUUCAAAUACCAGUCUGCCGUAUGUCAGAAAAGUUAUUUUAAAAGGACUGUUUGCCUUUGAUGUGCUAACAAAAAGAGAACACAGUAGAUAUGAAAAAAUGGUAGGCCAGUCAGGAAUUCUAGAUCACUGCUUUGAAAGUAAUAUAAAAGAAUGGCCAAAAAUUUUAGCUGAGAAACUACAAACAAUACACUAAUUGUAUAAAAACAUUGAGAGUAAGAAGUAAGGAAAAGGAAUACUCUCAAUAAAAUAUACAGCAGCAAAAACCAGGUAGGCCUUUGUGAAAUGAACAAUUAAUUGUGCUAUUUAGGAAGGGAAGUCACGGGCUAGAAGUCUUCUUUACCAAAAGGGAAUAACAAAAGACUUUAGGCUGAAAGGCACCAAGAGAAAAUAGUCUGUUUAGGAGAAAUCAUAUCCACUGCUAUAAAGUUCUUAAGGUGGGAGAGGACAAGGUAUUGGAAAUAGUACACGCAUUCAAAUCCAGCAAUAUGUCAGAAGAGAUACCUGUAUGGGGUUGGAGUUCACUUUUAGAAAGGUAUCCAGGCAGACAGAAGGGAUUCCUACUACCAUGCAGACAUAUUUAACCCGAGCAACGUUAGCUCAGGUAGAUUUUUACCUCCUUUCCUUGCAAAGGGUAAGCAACAGAGCUUGGAAGAAAUCAUGCUGUGCCCAAAAGGCCAGAAGAGUACUGCUGGAUGGGAGUGUAUCACUGGACAGCUUUGAGCCUCCUCCACCUCUUCAGACUAGCCAAGAAAUCAACCCUUGGAGUAAAGCAUAUUCUGUACCCAAAACUUUACAGGCCAACAUAAAUGUAUAAAGAAGGUUGUACUAAUAGCACACAAUCAGACAGUUCUAAUAUAAAUGAAUAUUUAAUUGAAGCCUAUUCAUUUACCAACUAAAAAUUAUGGGGCCGAGAUUCCAACACCAGGAAAGGUUGAUAGUCAAAUUAUAAACCUUGGAAAAUAUGAUUAUGCUAUUAAAGCAGCAAUAAGGGAUCUUUAACUAUAGAAAAACAAACAGUUCUGCUAUAAUUCAAAGUACAGAAACUAUAAGAGAUUGCAUCAAGUGAAGAACUAGGAAAGCAGAUAUUACAACCCCUGCUGUUUCUGCAAACAUUUUUAUUAGGUAGAGAAGCAAUGGAAUUGGACCAAAGGGAAUGAGUUUCUGCAAGCUAUUUACCAACUAUAAACUAGCAAAGGUACAGGGAAUUCUAGUUACACUGCAAGCUAUUAAGGUUGUUUUUUCUCUUUGCCUUCCCCCCCAAAUGGCUGUUCAAUAUGAAAAAUGACUCUCUGUCAGCAGAGACUCCUCGUAACCCAUCCUGAUUGGCAACUUUCAUUGCUUUAUUAAGAUAAACUAGUAGUAUGCAACUAUAACAUUUCACAUAAGUGAAGUUAGAAACUGAGAAACACGGUUGUGUCAUGCGAGAAUAGAAACUAAAGAAUAAAUCUAGAUCUACCCUGUCAAACAAAUUAACAGUGAGCAGCCAGUUCUGUACAGCCCCUUGAUCAAAUUCACUCAAGCAAAGUUAUGCAAAAUAAUUUACUGACCAAAAUAUUUUCAGUUGCUUUGGCCAGUAUUCAUAUUAUGAACACUAAUUAUUCCUUCUGUUCUCUAGCAUAAGCUAGAAAUAUAUGAUAUAUGACAAACAGAGAAUGAUCAUCACCUUAUGUUCUAUUUUCCUCUUGUGAAGAAAGAGGCAUAGAAGUGUAUUAUUUUCACUUAAGCCUUAUUUAAUAAACAUAUUUCCAAAUAUUUUGAUAAAUUUUUAUUGAAAAAUAAAAUUUUGUCAAAACUUUAACAUUUUACAAGAUGGCACCAAGUGUUAUGAAAUGUGUAAAUCAAAAUAUGAGGUAUGUUUUGUUCCUACUCUUUCAUUUCUUUCUCACUGUGAUAUUUUCUAAAUUAAAUACAAAAAAAGUCAUACAUUGUCUUGAUAGAACUGUUUCCAUUGUAAGCCUCUAAAUCAUUCAGAGCUCUGGGCUUAGAGAGCUCUCAGUAGAUUCUCAAACCCUCACUCUCCAAGACAGAACUUAUUAGACCUCCACCCUUCAAAUCCUUUCUCUUAAUUUAACCAAUUCCUUUAAAAAGUAUCAAAAACUGAGCAAUGUUUUGCUUAAAUGUUUGCUUUGAGCCAGACAGAACAACUCUAAAUCUGGUUUCCCAGCUUACAAUGCAAUGCUAUGACCUGCCCAAGGUCUAUAGACUCUUUGAGUCUACUUUUUCCCCCUCAAAUGAACAGAAAAAUCAGUUAUUAGCUACUAUUAUACAAUAAUUCAUGCUUCUUUAGUGAUCCAAACUCCUCACAGACAAAGAAAAAAUAACCUGCUAAGCUACAUGCUAACCUGUAAUCAUUAGCUCCAGAUCCUCCCAACCGGGCUUAAUGGAGAAUCUCCAUUAAUUGUUACUGGAGAGAUAUAUUCUCUUUGCAGGACAACAAACACAAAUAGAAUAACCACAAAAAGCAUGAGCAAGACUGAAACUGCAUGCAGAGAAAGCUAACUGAGUCUGCUUUCCAGCCUCCUUGUUUCCCAUUUGCUGUUUCAUAAUGAGGGAAAUAAUACUAGAGUUUGUAUGACAUAGACAAGCAAAUGUCUACCAGCUAAAUCCAUGUGUAGGUGAGGCCAGCAAGCCUCUUGAAAAAUGCCAGAACACCAAAUGUGUUAAUGCUGAGGUCUCUAAUAGCACAUCUGCAUCCCAUGGAGGUAUGCAGAGCUCAUUGCUUGCCACCUCAACAAAUGCCAUCCCCACUGCCCUGCCUCUUCCUCCUCAGGUCCCAGUCUCAAGCUCAGCCCUGGCCUCUGCUGAGCCACCCCACCCCAGCACUUCCCUUCACCCCCUCCAUGUUUCACCACACAAAAUUUGGGCUCUAUUUCUCUGCCAAUAGCUCCCUCCCAUUCUCCAUUUCUGAUGUCAGGCUUCCUCUCUCUGUUCCCCUCAAUUUCUUUUCUCGCAUAUGAACUUGUGCUUUGAAUCCGUCAAAAUCAGUGCCAAAAUCCUAUUUUUUUCACCAGAUAUCAAUUCAUUAUGGAUUAAAAGUGUAGAAUCUAGAUUUCCGGUGGAUUAUAUAUAGUGAUAUGAAAGUUACUACAUCCUGUUGGGAAUCCAGCAUGGCUUCUCUUCAUAUUAUUUUCUUUUUCUUGGCCAGAAUACAUCUCAUUAUGUGAAAACAGAGCUCUCAGGUGUUUUGGUAUAUAUCAGAAGAAAUUUAAUGCAAAUCUGACAAUGUGCAUUACCAGCUGCAGAACUAUUUCCAUUUUGGAGUAAAAAGAAAAAAGUUAGAGAUUAAACUUGAGCACUUAUUUGCUAGUUAGGAAUAAGAAAUAAAAAUAACAUGGGAAAGGAAACAGGUGACAAAUUUAGUUGUAUGCUUCUAGUUUUAUUAGUGCUUUUUUGUUUCAUUAAUGUAAGAAAUGCAAUAUCUUGACAGAUGCUAGUGCUUGCAGGAGGACCUGCAGAGGUGAGAUGGGUGAAGGUUUUUGCUGAUUUUAGUACACAAAAUUUAAGCCUUCAUGUUUUGCCGACUUUUAUCAUCUUCUACUGCUGAUCAUAAGCAAACUUGCAUUAUCUUUACUUCAAUUCCGGCAACAAAAUCCACUAAGCCACAAAGACUGUCAGAAAUGAAAGCCACAGAGAAUAAUUUCAGGUGUAGGAGUUAGCUAACCUGGGUAUUCUUCUAACACAAGUCAUUGCUACUGUUAAGCUGUAGCUCACAUGCUGUUUGUUUUGUGUUUGAAGAGCUAAAAAAAUAAGAAUUUUGCUAGCAAUAGCACCUGUUAUUAUCAGAAACAUCUUUCUGGAAAGAUGUUGUCAUAUUUACUGUCAGCAUGUUCUCACUCAGGUAUCCCUGUGAAGGACUCUCUAGUACUCCCUACUAUUAUGCACAAUGUAAAUUGCUGUAGUUUUAUUCUUCUAACCAUUCUCAAAUGGCAGGAUUUUCCAUAGCUUUAUUGUCAACAUUACAAUGAUGGUUUAGCCUAAUUGGAGCAUCAUUUUUUUUUAAAUUGUCUGGGAUAAGGGAUUGAAUACAACAGUUCUUGGUAGUCAGUCAGACCACAUGUUUAUAAGAUUGGGUCCAAGGUUAAGAAACAUUUUCUUUUGCUUAAUUCUGUCUCCUGCUACUGAUGUUUUAAAGAUUGUAUUGCUUCAUUUUCUAAACCUCUUGUCCUGGGCAGAUCCAAACUAUCCAUUAUCGGAAAGCAGAUAUCCAAGGGCAGAGAGGAAACCUACCGUAUGCUGAAAUGGCUAGAGAAGCCCAGCCCAUGGCUAGAGAUAGCAGGGGAGAAAAGCUAUGAAUGAGGUCAUCUGUACGUACUUUGGCAAGAUUGCCUGGUAACCAAGCACUCUGAUUAUGUAAGUCUUGGCUUCUGGCUCCCUUAAGUCACUCAAAUUCUAUCACUUUACCCCCUUUCCAAGGUCAUAUUUCUUCUCCAUUUCAAACUGUCUUCUAAAUUUUGCCCUCUGGCCUUACAGCCAAAGUGCUUUGCUAGCCACUACCAAAUGCCAGAUUGUCCUGUCACUUUUUAUCAUAAACAUGAAUUAUUUGAGGAAAAACAUAUAUAAACCCUGGGUUCAUUCUUUCUAUUUGGCUAAAGUGAUGGGACAGGCUCUUUCUGUGCACCUCUCAUGUUAUAACUGAAAUACACAAGAAGAAACCGGUCUUAUUCCCGGGAUGAAGUCAGAACUGGCAGUCUAUAGUGAGGAAUUAUCUUCAGAGAAGCCAUCCAUAUUUUCCAGGAUAAGUGUGAUACAGUUAUAGAGUGCUAAGAGAGACAACACAAGUUUAUACUAAGUCCUUCAGAGCCCACGCAGACUCAGAAUUAAUGUAUUUUUAAAGACCUUUUCCUGAGGAUGCCCAGGGACUGAUGGCUCAGAAAAAAAUCAUCAAAAACCAGCUGAAAAAUUUAUUGUUACAGAAAACAUGAAUUAGUUUUAAUAGCCUUCUGCCUCUUCUCCCAGGUAACUAGUGAUAGGACAAGAGGUAAUGGUCUUAAGUUGUGCCAAGGGAGAUUCAGGUUGGAUAUUAGGAAGAAUUUCUUCUCAGAGAGAGUGGAGAGACAUUGGAACAGGUUGCCCAUAGAAUUGGCAUAGUCACCAACCCUGAAGGUUUUUGAGAAAAGUGUAGGUAGAUGUGGCACUGAGGGACGUGGUUUAGUGGCCUUGAUGGUGAUUAGUUGAUGGUUAGAAUAAAAGAUCUUAGUGAUCUUUUCCAACGUUAAUGAUUCUAUGAUUCUAUAAUUCUACAUCCCAAGACCUGCAGUACUUCACUUUUUGUCUCUGUUCCUUGCAAUGGAGUUGGACGAGAUGACAUUUAAAGGUCAUUUCCAAUUCAAAUAAUUCUAUGAUUCUAUGCUUCUUUGACUUCUAACCAAACUCCAUUGGUUAGAGCCCUCCACACAGCCCUCCACAGAAUAUGGACCAUCAAUCACUUAGAAUAAUUAUCCACAUAAGUUUUUACCAAGUUAGUUUUUCAUGCAUUCAGACUGCAAAGUCCUAGCUUGGAUUAAAAAAUACUACAAAAAGCUGUGUUGAAAGUCUGGCUAAAGUUAAGGUAAAUGACAUUCACUGUUCUCCCUGCAUCCAUAAAUCCAGUCACUUUAUCAUAUAAUACAACUGGGUUGGUCAAGCAAGAUCUACACUUGCUAAAUCUAUGCUGACUGUUCCCAAGAACAACUACUUUCAUGCACUCGGAUGCUGAAAAAGUACUCGCUCCACAAUUUUUGCCAAGAUCAAAAUGAAGGUGACCAGUUUCAAUUGGUCCUUGGUUUGUCAUUUGGUCUAUUUUGAAGAUGGCAGUUAUCAUACAUGAGUAUUACAUCUCCAGACUUUGGUUAACAACGAAGGAAAAGGGAGGAAAAUCACAGAAUGACAGAAUCAUAGAAUGAUGGAGUUAUUGAGACUUAAGACUUCAAACUCAUUUCUUGGGGGAGAUUUUGCCCUGAUCACCCUUGGGAAAUCUGUCUCUCCAACCUCUUCUAUACAGACUCUCUAUCUCCUUCAGCUAGGCUUUCCUCCAUCCAGAUGCUGGCAAAUUGGAAGUACACUGUUGCUAGAAUCUGAAAGAACUAAUAAAAACUAUAAGCAAAGUAAUUCAAUUGUCUGUUGUGAUUAAUUCCAUCCAGUUAUGGUUCAUUGGUAGUGUUUGUUGUUUUUUGUUUUAUUGUUCUGUAAAUUUCUCUUUGAUAGUAUUAUUUCAGAGACUUGUACUUUUGUUUCAACUUGAUAUACUAGGAAACUACUUAUUUGAAAAUUAUAUUCAACAAGUUUUGCGUCGUAGUGAUUUUAUCAGGAUUGUAUUAGAAAAGAGUAGGGAAAAAAAGGAGGGGUCUUAUGAAGUAGAUGAUGUUGUAAGAUCAUGAAUUUGAAUGUCUUUGAUGGAAUUAAUAGAUUUGGUCAACCCAAACUCUGGUAGAAUGAGAAAAAAAUUCAAAUGGCAGCUUUCAACUGUACAUAGGCUAAUAAACGUGUACUUGAAGCCUC
Long non-coding RNA from Numida meleagris (helmeted guineafowl), 11245 nucleotides. RefSeq lists it as uncharacterized. The transcript is spliced from 2 exons. The record is from RefSeq and is a predicted model, not a curated record. NCBI's taxonomy places the organism in Eukaryota, Metazoa, Chordata, Aves, Galliformes, Numididae.